Molecule: ribosomal RNA, 253 nt
Filed under: uncultured bacterium
Lineage: Bacteria
Description: partial 16S ribosomal RNA
Rfam family: Bacterial small subunit ribosomal RNA
Source: RNAcentral
UACGGGGGGGGCAAGCGUUGUUCGGAAUUACUGGGCGUAAAGGGCUCGUAGGUGGCCAACUAAGUCAGACGUGAAAUCCCUCGGCUUAACCGGGGAACUGCGUCUGAUACUGGAUGGCUUGAGUUUGGGAGAGGGACGCGGAAUUCCAGGUGUAGCGGUGAAAUGCGUAGAAAUCAGGAGGAACACCGGUGGCGAAGGCGCACAUCUGGCCCGAUACUGACGCUGAGGCGCGAAAGCUAGGGGAGCAAACGGG